This 484-nucleotide ribosomal RNA is filed under the name uncultured bacterium. RNAcentral describes it as "partial 16S ribosomal RNA". It matches the Rfam family "Bacterial small subunit ribosomal RNA", at positions 30 to 507 of the family's 1533-position model. The record is from RNAcentral.
AUUGAACGCUGGCGGCAGGCCUAACACAUGCAAGUCGAGCGGAUGAAGGGAGCUUGCUCCUGGAUUCAGCGGCGGACGGGUGAGUAAUGCCUAGGAAUCUGCCUGGUAGUGGGGGAUAACGUCCGGAAACGGGCGCUAAUACCGCAUACGUCCUGAGGGAGAAAGUGGGGGAUCUUCGGACCUCACGCUAUCAGAUGAGCCUAGGUCGGAUCAGCUAGUUGGUGGGGUAAAGGCCUACCAAGGCGACGAUCCGUAACUGGUCUGAGAGGAUGAUCAGUCACACUGGAACUGAGACACGGUCCAGACUCCUACGGGAGGCAGCAGUGGGGAAUAUUGGACAAUGGGCGAAAGCCUGAUCCAGCCAUGCCGCGUGUGUGAAGAAGGUCUUCGGAUUGUAAAGCACUUUAAGUUGGGAGGAAGGGCAGUAAGUUAAUACCUUGCUGCUUUGACGUUACCAACAGAAUAAGCACCGGCUAACUUCGUG